Rhipicephalus microplus (southern cattle tick) is the source of this 972-nucleotide long non-coding RNA. The record is from RefSeq and is a predicted model, not a curated record. NCBI's taxonomy places the organism in Eukaryota, Metazoa, Arthropoda, Arachnida, Ixodida, Ixodidae.
UGCAGCUGGCCUGUGGCAUGUGGACGCUGAGGACCUCUACCGCAACAGCCGAGCCUUCCGAUACUACAACAAAGAGAAAGCCCACUGUAGAAAGUGUGAUCAAAUGGGGCAUGUAGCUAAGUUUUGUCGCAAAAAGAAGUUCAAAGUGUGUUUCUGCUGCUCGGACAUGGGUCAUGAUGGUGCACGAUGUCCCAAACGAAUGUGCUCUCGUUGCUAUGAACACUGUCACACAGCGGCCGAGUGAAAAGAGACUGAUGUGCUUUCAUGCACCACCUGUUAGACCAAGGGCCACCCAGCAAUGAUGUGAAGUACGGUGAAUGGUUCUCCCAAUCUCUCACACCUGGGUGGAUCAUCACCGGACAAAAGGCAAUGCAGGACCUGGAAUAUACCGUACGAUCACCAUCAAAGUUGGUGCAGUAGAAUUCGGAUUUCAAUUCUUCAUCUGCGGAGAGUCCUGUGGUGUUAUAUUUCGCACUGAGCUAUGACAGUUCUGGACGUGCUUGCGAUGGGCUUCGGUUGGGAGAACGAGCAGUCAGGUACGCUUUAGAGGUGAAUUUAUAUAUAUUCGAAACUUUUGCUGUGUCUGCCAAUUCGUGUAGUGCCCUAGCAGACAAAGGAAACCUACAACAAGCUUCUUUUAGCCUCGAAAUUCGGCAGCACCACCCCUUUGAAGAAGCGCCGCGGGAUUGGAACAUACAGUUUCACUGGUAGUUUAAGAUAGCCCAUAGCUAUAUGGGUGGGGAGUGUUCUAGAUCCAAGAGUAAGUAUAAGGUGUUUUGUGGGAAUUUCUUUUUUGCCUUAUCUUAUUUUUAUGCGCUGCACCUCGUCAAAAUUCUUGUCGUUCCAGCCUGUCAAGAGUUCUUUAUUGGAUAGACCCAUCAAGUGGCCAUCUGACACGACUUCCUUCACGGUGUUCAUUGUUCGGUGUGGUGAAACUUUCCGGGGAGUUUUAUGACCAGUAAAAAGUAUUGA